UGCAGUCGAGCGGCAGCGGGAAGUAGCUUGCUACUUUGCCGGCGAGCGGCGGACGGGUGAGUAAUGUCUGGGAAACUGCCUGAUGGAGGGGGAUAACUACUGGAAACGGUAGCUAAUACCGCAUGACCUCGNAAGAGCAAAGUGGGGGACCUUCGGGCCUCACGCCAUCGGAUGUGCCCAGAUGGGAUUAGCUAGUAGGUGGGGUAAUGGCUCACCUAGGCGACGAUCCCUAGCUGGUCUGAGAGGAUGACCAGCCACACUGGAACUGAGACACGGUCCAGACUCCUACGGGAGGCAGCAGUGGGGAAUAUUGCACAAUGGGCGCAAGCCUGAUGCAGCCAUGCCGCGUGUGUGAAGAAGGCCUUAGGGUUGUAAAGCACUUUCAGCGAGGAGGAAGGGUUCAGUGUUAAUAGCACUGUGCAUUGACGUUACUCGCAGAAGAAGCACCGGCUAACUCCGUGCCAGCAGCCGCGGUAAUACGGAGGGUGCAAGCGUUAAUCGGAAUUACUGGGCGUAAAGCGCACGCAGGCGGUUUGUUAAGUCAGAUGUGAAAUCCCCGAGCUUAACUUGGGAACUGCAUUUGAAACUGGCAAGCUAGAGUCUUGUAGAGGGGGGUAGAAUUCCAGGUGUA
Molecule: ribosomal RNA, 631 nt
Filed under: Rahnella sp. M29T16b
Lineage: Bacteria; Pseudomonadati; Pseudomonadota; Gammaproteobacteria; Enterobacterales; Yersiniaceae
Description: bacterial SSU rRNA
Rfam family: Bacterial small subunit ribosomal RNA
Source: RNAcentral